CAGUAGCCGCUGGAAUACAGAGGGUGCGAGCGUUAAUCGGAUUUACUGGGCGUAAAGCGUGCGUAGGCGGCUUUUUAAGUCGGAUGUGAAAUCCCUGAGCUUAACUUAGGAAUUGCAUUCGAUACUGGGAAGCUAGAGUAUGGGAGAGGAUGGUAGAAUUCCAGGUGUAGCGGUGAAAUGCGUAGAGAUCUGGAGGAAUACCGAUGGCGAAGGCAGCCAUCUGGCCUAACACUGACGCUGAGGUACGAAAGCAUGGGGAGCAAACAGGAUUAGAUACCCCAGUAGUCCCUGUCUCUUAUAC
Molecule: ribosomal RNA, 301 nt
Filed under: uncultured bacterium
Lineage: Bacteria
Description: partial 16S ribosomal RNA
Rfam family: Bacterial small subunit ribosomal RNA
Source: RNAcentral